RNAcentral lists this small RNA (558 nucleotides) under Pongo abelii (Sumatran orangutan). RNAcentral describes it as "processed transcript". The record is from RNAcentral. Lineage: Eukaryota; Metazoa; Chordata; Mammalia; Primates; Hominidae.
GGGUGGUACUGUUAGUUCUUUCGAACCAACAAAUUACGACCUGGUGGCUUUUUCGAUCCACCUCUGAACUGUUUAAAGUCCCAUAAAGAAUGGAAGGACUUUCCAUCACAACCCAGGGUCUUGAACGCAGAGCUUGGACAAAACUUUUGGUUUGAAGAAUAAGAAAGGAGCAAAGCAACAGAAGUUUAUCAAGGCUGUCACACAUCAAGUUAAAUUUGGUCAACAAAAUCCACGUCAGGUAGCACAGAGUGAAGCUGAAAAGAAAUUGAAGAAGGAUGACAAGAAAAAAGAAUUGCAGGAGCUAAAUGAGCUGUUCAAACCUGUAGUUGCUGCUCAAAAAAUAAGUAAAGGUGCAGAUCCCAAGUCUGUGGUAUGUGCAUUCUUCAAGCAAGGACAGUGUACUAAAGGCGAUAAGUGUAAGUUCUCCCAUGACUUGACUCUGGAGAGAAAAUGUGAAAAGCGAAGUGUUUACAUUGAUGCAAGAGAUGAAGAACUUGAAAAAGGUGUGCAAGCAUUUCCUUGAAGCUAUUGAAAACAACAAGUAUGGCUGGUUUUGGG